This 509-nucleotide long non-coding RNA is filed under the name Mus musculus (house mouse). RNAcentral's name for it is "predicted gene, 50152". The record is from RNAcentral. Lineage: Eukaryota; Metazoa; Chordata; Mammalia; Rodentia; Muridae.
UUGGAAACAGGGUUUCUUUGUACACAGACUCAGGGACUGUCCUGCCUCUGCCUCUCUAGUUUUGAGAUUAAAGGCGGGUGACAGCAUACCUGCCUCUUAAUUCUUAAUUUUAUUAGGCAUGAUAAUGGUAGUGUGGCUCAGUUAAAACCUGUCCAUGAGCCGGGCAGUGGUGGCACACGCCUUUAAUCCCAGCACUCGGGAGGCAGAGGCAGGCGUAUCUGUGAGUUCAAGGCCAGCCUGGACUACAGAUUUAGUUUCAGCACAGCCAGGGCUACACAGAAAAAUGAGAAAUCUUGUCUUGAAAAACAAACAAACAAAAAACAAAAGGUUGGUGGGAUUUGUCUAUGGUUAAAAACACAGUGUUCUGCAGUUCCAGAGAAUCUGAGUUCAAUUCCCAGCAACCACAUGGCAGCUCACAACCACCUGUAAAGGGAUCUGAUUUCCUCUUCUGGCAUGUAGGUGUACAUGGAGACAGAAUAGUCCUACAUUUAAAUAAUAAAUACAUAAAU